This 700-nucleotide ribosomal RNA is filed under the name uncultured bacterium. RNAcentral's name for it is "bacterial SSU rRNA". It matches the Rfam family "Bacterial small subunit ribosomal RNA", at positions 143 to 845 of the family's 1533-position model. The record is from RNAcentral.
AUAACAUCGAGAAAUUGGUACUAAUACCCCAUAACAUCACCGGAGGCAUCUUCGGUGGUUGAAAACUCAGGUGGUCAGAGAUGGACAUGCGUUGUAUUAGCUAGUUGGUGAGGUAACGGCUCACCAAGGCGACGAUACAUAGGGGGACUGAGAGGUCAACCCCCCACAUUGGUACUGAGACACGGACCAAACUCCUACGGGAGGCAGCAGUGAGGAAUAUUGGUCAAUGGACGCAAGUCUGAACCAGCCAUGCCGCGUGCAGGAAGACGGCUCUAUGAGUUGUAAACUGCUUUUGUACGAGGGUAAAUCCCGAUACGUGUAUCGGGUUGAAAGUAUCGUACGAAUAAGGAUCGGCUAACUCCGUGCCAGCAGCCGCGGUAAUACGGAGGAUUCAAGCGUUAUCCGGAUUUAUUGGGUUUAAAGGGUGCGUAGGCGGUUCGAUAAGUUAGAGGUGAAAUCCCGGGGCUCAACUCCGGCACUGCCUCUGAUACUGUCGGGCUAGAGUUUAGUUGCGGUAGGCGGAAUGUAUGGUGUAGCGGUGAAAUGCAUAGAGAUCAUACAGAACACCGAUUGCGAAGGCAGCUUACCAAACUACGACUGACGUUGAGGCACGAAAGCGUGGGGAGCAAACAGGAUUAGAUACCCUGGUAGUCCACGCAGUAAACGAUGAUAACUGGUUGUCGGCGAUAAAAUGUCGGUG